CAAAUACAGAGCGAGAGAGAGAGAGCUAUUCCUACAGUAUAAUACCUCAUACUGGCUGUGACUGCAGUAAUUACAAGCACAGCGACUUUCUGGUGUCUCUGACCGUUGCCAGGCGUACUCAUAGUGACACUGAGGGGUCUAGGACGUCACUUCCCCCCGCCAAGGAACAGACGAGCAUGUAAUUCUAUACUAGCCUGCCUGUGGAGCUCUCGUUCCUGGAUGAACCAGCCAAACAUCUGGGUCUCCAUGAAGACCUCCAGGAACCGGCGCACUGUCUUAGACGGGAUCGCUUUACGGAAACCCUCGCGUUGGAAGUAGCAGGGGACCGGGGAGGAGGAAGAGGAGGAGGAGUAGCCGUCCUCCCGUUCACCGGUGAUGAAGAGUGGAUAGUGGCCUACCAGCUCCACGAAGAAACGAACGAAGGCCUCGGACACGACGGUGCUAAGAUGGCCCGAAUCUGCACAGAAGAGGAUAAACGAAGCAAGCUCUCGUCUCCUCUCCAGAACAUUCUCCAGGGCUGAUUGGAGCUUAGAUGGCAGAAUGGAGUCUUCAUCGUCCAACUAAAUGGGACAAAUGGCGAAUCGAAAAUUCAUUUUGAAGUACACUAAGGAUUCAAUAAUUUGGUCCACAUCCAUAAGUGUCAUGAAGUACCAUAAAAACGUGCACAAAUAUAAUUCAACCCUUGGCCUACCUGUCUGAGAAAUCGACUGUUUUCAAGAUCCACAACCAGAACCUGUACACAUAAAUGUUUUAAUGGUUAUUGUUUGACAA
Trematomus bernacchii (emerald rockcod) is the source of this 771-nucleotide long non-coding RNA. RefSeq lists it as uncharacterized. The transcript is spliced from 5 exons. The record is from RefSeq and is a predicted model, not a curated record. NCBI's taxonomy places the organism in Eukaryota, Metazoa, Chordata, Actinopteri, Perciformes, Nototheniidae.